AUACGGAGGACGCGAGCGUUAUCCGGAUUCAUUGGGUUUAAAGGGUGCGCAGGCGGCCGUGCAAGUCAGCGGUGAAAGCCCGGGGCUCAACCCCGGAAGUGCCGUUGAUACUGCAUGGCUUGAAUGCGGUCGAGGCGGGCGGGACGUGGCGUGUAGCGGGGAAAUGCGUGGAUAUGCCACAGAAAGCCGAUAGCGGAGGCAGCUCGCCGGCCUGCAUUGACGCUCGGGCACGAAAGCGUGGGGAUCGAACAGGAUUAGAUACCCUGGUAGUCCACGCCGUAAACGAUGGGCGCUCGUCGUCGGCGGCAGACAGUCGGCGGCCAAGCGAAAGCGAUAAGCGCCCCACCUGGGGAGUACGGUCGCAAGGCUGAAACUCAAAGGAAUUGGCGGGG
This 392-nucleotide ribosomal RNA is filed under the name uncultured bacterium. RNAcentral describes it as "partial 16S ribosomal RNA". It matches the Rfam family "Bacterial small subunit ribosomal RNA", at positions 523 to 918 of the family's 1533-position model. The record is from RNAcentral.